AGAUAUGAGGGCGAGCUGGCUGUGACAUCUGUCACCCCAUUGAUCGCCAGGGUUGACUCGGCUCAUCUGGCCCGCUAGGCGGGUGUCCCCUUCCUCCCUCACUCACCUCCAUGUGCGUCCCUCCCAAAGAUGCUUGCUCCUUCAAGAGGACGGCCUUCCCCAAAUAGAGACGGACUGGCCUAAAGUAUACGAGUAGCUGCGCUCCCCUGCUAGAACCUCCAAACAAGCUUUCAAGAAUAUGGGAUUCUGGUGAACUUCACAGGAUGGAGGAUAAACUAUUAGUGGGGAUGUGGAUAUUUGAU
This 302-nucleotide small nuclear RNA is filed under the name Erinaceus europaeus (western European hedgehog). Its description in RNAcentral is "7SK RNA". It matches the Rfam family "7SK RNA". From Rfam's summary of the family: 7SK was discovered as an abundant small nuclear RNA in the mid-70s but a possible function has only recently been suggested. Two independent studies have found that 7SK RNA binds the CDK9/cyclin T complex (known as elongation factor P-TEFb). P-TEFb activates transcription by phosphorylating the C-terminal domain of RNA polymerase II. Lineage: Eukaryota; Metazoa; Chordata; Mammalia; Eulipotyphla; Erinaceidae. The record is from Rfam by way of RNAcentral.